Molecule: long non-coding RNA, 499 nt
Organism: Diceros bicornis minor
Lineage: Eukaryota; Metazoa; Chordata; Mammalia; Perissodactyla; Rhinocerotidae
Exons: 3
Source: RefSeq, a predicted model, not a curated record
UGAUCUGGAGUUAUAGACAAUGAAGGGUUUUCCGCCAUUCAAGUUUUCCAUCUUUGACACCAGGAUACACUUCAUCACAAGACGAUUCAUCUCUUUUCCCCAUCUCUACACCACUUUCUGAGGAACAUAGAAUUUAACAAUGCCACUGGUGACUCAGUGAUUUUGGCUGAAGAAAGAAAAUCAGAUGCAGAGUAUGCCAUUCUCAACUUUGGGAAUUUUCCAGAAGGUCUUGGACUUACAGUGAAAGUAGGAGAGUAUUCUCCCACAUGCUCCACGUGGUCAAGAAUUGUCUUUAUCUGAGGAGGUGAUAGACUGGGCUGCGGGAAUUCCUGAGACUCUGCACUCUGUAUGCAGUGAGAGUUGUGGUCCUGGAUUUAGCGAGAGCCUCCAGUAGAGAAAGGCUGUCUGUUGUUCUGACGGAACUCUCUGCCCAGAGAAUGAGAUUUCCACUGACACAGAAAUGCCUCUUUUUAGAUACCUGAUUUCUUGCUCAUAGGCC